UGGGGAAUAUUGGACAAUGGGCGCAAGCCUGAUCCAGCAAUGCCGCGUGUGUGAAGAAGGCCUGCGGGUUGUAAAGCACUUUCAGUGGGGAGGAAGGCAAGGUAUUGAAUAGAUACGUUGUUUGACGCUACCCACAAAAGCAGCACCGGCUAACUCUGUGCCAGCAGCCGCGGUAAUACAGAGGGUGCAAGCGUUAAUCGGAUUGACUGGGCGUAAAGCGCGUGUAGGCGGCUUAAUAAGUGAAUUGUGAAAGUCCUGGGCUUAACCUAGGGAUUGCGGUUCAUACUGUUAGGCUAGAGUCUAGGAGAGGAAAGUAGAAUUUCCGGUGUAGCGGUGAAAUGCGUAGAUAUCGGAAAGAAUACCAGUGGCGAAGGCGACUUUCUGGCUUAAGACUGACGCU
This 400-nucleotide ribosomal RNA is filed under the name uncultured bacterium. RNAcentral's name for it is "bacterial SSU rRNA". It matches the Rfam family "Bacterial small subunit ribosomal RNA", at positions 355 to 747 of the family's 1533-position model. The record is from RNAcentral.